GACGAACGCUGGCGGCGUGCUUAACACAUGCAAGUCGAACGGAAAGGCGCUGCUUUUGUGGGGUGCUCGAGUGGCGAACGGGUGAGUAACACGUGAGUAACCUGCCCUUAAGUCUGGGAUAACUUCAGGAAACUGGGGCUAAUACCGGAUAGGAGCUACUGCUGCAUGGCGGGGGAUGGAAAGUUUCGGCGGUUGGGGAUGGACUCGAGGCUUACGAGCUUGUUGGGGGGGUAGGGGAUUACCAAGGCUUUGACGGGGAGCCGGCCUGGGAGGGUGACCGGCCCCAGUGGGCCUGGGGUACCGCCCAGACUCCUACGGGCGGCAGCAGUGGGAAAUAUUGCGCAAUGGGCGGAAGCCUGAUGCAGCAACGCCGCGUGCUGGAUGACGGCCUUCGGGUUGUAAACCGUUUUCGCCUGUGACGAAGCGUGAGUGACGGUAACUGGUAAAAAAGCCCCGGCUAACUACGUG
Molecule: ribosomal RNA, 468 nt
Filed under: uncultured bacterium
Lineage: Bacteria
Description: partial 16S ribosomal RNA
Rfam family: Bacterial small subunit ribosomal RNA
Source: RNAcentral